Molecule: RNA transcript, 3225 nt
Organism: Sander lucioperca (pikeperch)
Lineage: Eukaryota; Metazoa; Chordata; Actinopteri; Perciformes; Percidae
Gene name: cell adhesion molecule 4-like
Exons: 6
Source: RefSeq, a predicted model, not a curated record
AGAUAAUAGAGUUAGCACUCUGAUUAUGUAAAGUCUCUUUGAAAUGAAUCUAGAAGGUGAUGUAAAAACCGGGAAAUCUGGAGACUACCACACUUUCACUUUCAAGACUGAAAGGAUGUCUGUGAAAAAACUUAGAGAGGAUGUGUGGUGUGAAAACAAGCUGCGCUGCCAACAUCCUUUGACUACAAUAGAAAACCAAAAAACGGAGUGGACUCAUUUAAUUCCUGACCACCUUUGGACAACGUUUUUUGUUAUUUGUUGUACAAAGAAAUAACUGGGAAUAAUGUUUUUCCAUUUCAUUCUUCUGGUUGUUUCUUUGAUGGGUUCCCUGCGCAGCUUCCAUGUGUCCGGCUGUAAUGAAAACUGUGCAGAUAAACCUGCGUUCACUCCAACCAGACUGGUAGUGAAGCAUGGUGACCCAACCUCUGCCAUCUGCUCUGUAUGUCAGCAUGCUUGCCUCGUUAACGGCACCACAACUGAUCUGGAGAAAGCUGUUGGAGACACAUUAAGAAACGGAACCACAAUUUUAUGGACGGUUGACAGACUGACUGAAUGGCACACAUCUCCCAUUUGCUAUUAUAGCAAUGCUGCUUACCAGUGUUGUAGCUCCCUGAAUGUAACUGUGUACCAGCCUCCAGACAGUGUGUCCUUCAGCUUUGUUAAUCACACUGGGCCGAUGUUGGAGGGGCAUCAGUACACUCUGCAGUGUACAGUACAGGACGUUGCUCCUGUUGAAAACCUUGUUGUGACAUUCUACAGAGGACAGACAGCGCUGGGUCAACUGCAGUCCAACAACACAGAGAAGAAACCAGCGACUGAGAUCUUCUCUUUAAACAUCACACCCAGUAAAGAAGAUGAUGGAGGCCGGUUCUGGUGUGAAGCAAAGCUAGAACUGGGACCUGAUGGACCACAGCGCCCUCCAGUGGUGACGUCAGAAAACAUCACUGCCACUGUGCACUAUAAGCCUCAACUAAAGUCAUCAUCUUCAGAUCUAAUCACCGUCGCAGAAGGAAACUCUCUACAACUGAACUGCUCGGCUGUGGGAAACCCCAGCCCCUCGUACACGUGGACAUCACCUAUCCGUUCCUACUCCAAUGUCAGCGUUCUCACUAUCGACUCUAUAACGUCUGCGGAUAAAGGGCAGUACACCUGUUCUGUCAGCAACCAUGUGGGGACUGCCACUGUGACGUUUAAUGUGGAUGUUGAAGAUUUGAAGUCAACCUCAACCAGACUGCCGCCAACAACUACCACUUUAACCACAACAACCACACAGAAAACAACCACACAGAAAACAACCGUACCGAACUGCAGCUCCAGUAGCAUACUGCUUCACAGGUCCAUGUGUUUUGUGCUUUUAUUCUCUGCUCUGGUUUGAGUUCAUUCCUAGAGAACAUAAGCGGUUUGUUUCUAGAGCAAUAGCAGGUCAUAUCGUUGCCACUGAACAAUAUAAUAGCACAAUAAAAGGUAUUUUAUCCAUGUCCUACAUAGCGCACAUUUGAUGCCAAUAUCAGUUCUCUAAAUACAUUGAGAAGGCAGCCUGUUGUGUGAGAACGCUUACAAUGUACCGUAAUACUCAUUGUUAACCAGAGUGCAUUAGCUUGUAAAUGAUCAUUGUUUGCCUGUCUGCAAAUGCACACACGGAACAUACUGUUAAAAUUGAUGUUAGAGUGGAUAUAUUGAAUUGACAAUGAAAAAAACAAAGCAGUAAGUAAGUCUACAGCCAUGUUAGCAGCACUGUGAGGCCAUACUUGCUAAUGUACUUGUAAAUGCUAACAUCAUAAGCUAACAUGCUCACAAUGACAAUGCUAAGUAGUACAUGUUUAGUAGUAGCUAUGUUUAUCAUGUUUACUAUCUUAGUUUGGGAUAACAUUUGCUAAUUUGCAAUAAACACAAAGUGCAGCUGAGCUGGUAUGUCAUUAGUUUGAGGGGGACUUUAAUGUCGGUACCAUUUUUUUUGCCAAUUUAUCAGUUGAUAUUAAGAUAAUUUACUCGCCUUUAGAAAAGUCAGAGAAUCACCAAAGUUGUUUAGGAUUCAUCUUCUGGGGAUUGUGAAUGUCUGUACCAAAUUCCAUGGCAAUCUAUCUAAUAGUUGUUGAGAUGUUCAGUCUGGACCAAAGUGGUGACCAACCAACCGACAUUCCUUGAGUAACGCAGCUAGCAUGGCUAAAAAACACUGAUUCAAAAAGUACCAAUACAUGUUAUGUUGUUGCUGUAAUUGUGUGUAUGGUAUGUUGCGACAUUCAGUUGAUAUAUUAGCGUUUUCAGUCCCCAGAACCGUUUUGUCAAAAAACAACAGUAGGAGGAAUGUCGGCAUUUCCCAGUGGUUUCAUUGAAAUAAAUAAACUCAAACAGUUCUGACCAAAAGGGCAAAUAUUAAUGUGCUGAUGGCAGCACAAGUUUUCCAUUUAGUUGUAGAAAACCCACAACUUGUUUUUCUUAGAAUUCUACCGCCAACGUUUAGUUUCCAGAGCAACCCCUACUGGCACAGUUCCAUUGAAAUAAAAAAAGACAGUCCAAGUGAAAAUGUAUCGAUGUGUUAUCGAUCUUUUCAUCUUACUCUCUGCAAGAAAGCAGUUACCCGUAUCAUUCAACAUGAAUGUCUAGGGUGAGUUCAUAGUUAUAGCAUACCUGGCCCCCAGGGUUAUGAUCAUUUAGUGAAUCACUGAAAAGAAACUAUACUGUUCUCAAAAUUACUUUCUUGCUGCUUUAUAAUUCCUAUACUAUAAUGUUCCCUCUUUUUUUCUUAUUGUUUUGAUAUUUUAAAAUGUGACAAAUUGACAUCAGUUUUCAAAAUAGACUGUAAGAAGGCAGCCUGUUGUGAUGCAAAGCACUUUUCACAAUGUAAUACUGUUAUUUUACCACUAGAUGAUGUUAGGCUAUAAUCUGCAAAGUAAGCAAUUUAAAAAAUGAUCAUUUCUGCCCUUCUAUCUCUGUCAAAUCCGAACCAAGGCUGUAACUUCCGCCUAGGACACUAAGGUCAUGUCCUUUAUAUAUUUCCCUGGGAAUUUAAGGUUUUUAGCAACCUCUUUAUAUUGUUUAAAGACUCAAACAUAGUGAGUAGUUUACAGGCUGAUACUAACUAGUAGUAGUUGUGUUUACUUUACUUUAAUUGGACUUAUUUUUUUUUUUUACUUUGGGGUAUAUGAACAUGUUUUGAACCUUUUCUCACACUGCUAAAUGUGUUAAAUGAAUAACUUUUGCUUGAAUAAAUACAGUUUAAACUUA